UGUAAGUGUUUCUCUUAUACCUCGGUGAC
RNAcentral lists this non-coding RNA (29 nucleotides) under Bombyx mori (domestic silkworm). Lineage: Eukaryota; Metazoa; Arthropoda; Insecta; Lepidoptera; Bombycidae. The record is from RNAcentral.